CCUACGGGGGGCAGCAGUGGGGAAUAUUGGACAAUGGGGGGAGCCCUGAUCCAGCGACGCCGCGUGAGUGAAGAAGUAUUUCGGUAUGUAAAGCUCUAUCCGCAGGGAAGAAAAUGACGGUACCUGACCAAGAAGCCCCGGCUAACUACGUGCCAGCAGCCGCGGUAAUACGUAGGGGGCAAGCGUUAUCCGGAUUUACUGGGUGUAAAGGGAGCGUAGACGGCCAUGCAAGUCUGAUGUGAAAACCCGGGGCUCAACCCCGGGACUGCAUUGGAAACUGUGCGGCUGGAGUGUCGGAGAGGCAA
This 305-nucleotide ribosomal RNA is filed under the name uncultured bacterium. RNAcentral describes it as "bacterial SSU rRNA". It matches the Rfam family "Bacterial small subunit ribosomal RNA", at positions 338 to 660 of the family's 1533-position model. The record is from RNAcentral.